GGACCCGUAGCCUAGCGGAUAGGGCACUUCCCUCCUAAGGAAGGGGUCGUGGGUUCGAUUCCCACCGGGUCCG
This 73-nucleotide transfer RNA is filed under the name Candidatus Iainarchaeum sp. Its description in RNAcentral is "tRNA-Arg". It matches the Rfam family "tRNA". Rfam says of the family: Transfer RNA (tRNA) molecules are approximately 80 nucleotides in length. Their secondary structure includes four short double-helical elements and three loops (D, anti-codon, and T loops). The record is from RNAcentral. Lineage: Archaea; Nanobdellati; Candidatus Iainarchaeota; Candidatus Iainarchaeia; Candidatus Iainarchaeales; Candidatus Iainarchaeaceae.